Molecule: long non-coding RNA, 34067 nt
Filed under: Triticum aestivum (bread wheat)
Lineage: Eukaryota; Viridiplantae; Streptophyta; Magnoliopsida; Poales; Poaceae
Description: long non-coding RNA (TAES_LNC010498)
Rfam family: tRNA (bases 12395-12461)
Source: RNAcentral
CAUCUACAACGGGUGCAAGCCAGUUUUGCACACGCAGAAUACUCAGGUUAAACUUGACGAGCCUAGCAUAUGCAGAUAUGGCCUCGGAACACGGAGACCGAAAGGUCGAGCGUGAAUCAUAUAGUAGAUAUGAUCAACAUAGAGAUGUUCACCAUUGAAAACUACUCCAUCUCACGUGAUGAUCGGUUAUGGUUUAGUUGAUUUGGAUCACGUGAUCACUUAGAUGACUAGAGAGAUGUCUAUCUAAGUGGGAGUUCUUAAGUAAUAUGAUUAAUUGAACUUAAAUUUAUCAUGAACUUAGUCCUGGUAGUAUUUUGCAAAUUAUGUUGUAGAUCAAUAGCUCGCGUUGUUGCUUUCAUACGUUUAUUUUGAUAUGUUCCUAGAGAAAAUUCUGUUGAAAGAUGUUAGUAGCAAUGAUGCGGAUUGGAUCCGUUAUCUGAGGUUUAUCCUCAUUGUUGCACAGAAGAAUUAUGUCCUUGAUGUACCGCUAGGUGAAAAACCUAUUGCAGGAGCAGAUACAGACGUUAUGAACGUUUGGCUAGCUCAAUAUGAUGACUACUUGAUAGUUUAGUGCACCAUACUUAACGGCUUAGAAUCGGGACUUCAAAGACGUUUUGAACGUCAUGGACCAUAUGAGAUGUUCCAGGAAUUGAAGUUAAUAUUUCAAGCAAAUACCCGAGUUGAGAGAUAUGAAGUCUCCAACAAGUUCUAUAGCUAAAAGAUGGAGGAGAAUCGCUCAACUAGUGAGCAUGUGUUCAGAUUAUCUGGGUACUUCAAUCGCUUGCAUCAAGUGAGAGUUAAUCUUCCAGAUAAGAUAGUGAUUGGCAGAAUUCUCUAGUCACCAUCACCAAGUUAGUAGAACUUCGUGAUGAACUAUAGUAUGCAAGGGAUGACGAAAAUGAUUCCCAAGCUCUUCGUGAUGCUGAAAUCUAUGAAGGUAGAAAUCAAGAAAAGCAUCAAGUGUUGAUGGUUGACAAGACCACUAGUUUCAAGAAAAGGGCAAAGGGAAGAAGUGGAACUUCAAGAAGAACGGCAAGCAAGUUGCUGCUCCCGCGAAGAAGCCCAAAGCUGGACCAAAGCCUGAAACUGAGUGAUUAUACUGCAAAGGAAAUGGUCACUAGAAGCAGGAAAUGCCCUGAAUAUUUGGUGGAUAAGAAGGAUGGAAAAGUGAACAAGGGUACAUUUGAUAUACAGGUUAUUGAUGUGUACCUUACUAGUGUUUAUAGUAACCCCUGAGUAUUUGAUACUUGUUCGGUUGCUAAGAUUAGUAAUUCGAAACAGGAGUUACAGAAUAAACAGAAACUAGUUGAGGGUGAAGUGACGAUGUGUGUUGGAAGUGGUUCCAAGAUUGAUAUGAUCAUCAUCGUACACUCCCUAUACUUUCGGGAUUAGUGUUGAACCUAAAUAAAUGUUAUUUGGCGUUUGCGUUGAGCAUGAAUAUGAUUUGAUCAUGUUUAUUGCAAUACGGUUAUUCAUUUAAAAUCAGAGAAUAAUUGUUGUUCUGUUUAAAUGAAUAAAUCCUUUGAUGGUCAUACACCCAAUGAAAAUAGUUUGUUGGAUCUCGAUUGUAGUGAUACACAUAUUCAUAAUAUUGAUGCCAAAAGAUGCAAAGUUAAUAAUGAUAGUGCAACUUAUUUGUGGCACUGCCGUUUGGGUCAUAUCGAUGUAAAGCGCAUGAACAAACUCCAUAAAGAUGGAUUUUUGGAAUCACUUGGUUAUGAAUCAUUUGAUGCUUGCGAACCGUGCCUUUUGGGCAAGAUGACUAAAACUCCAUUCUCCGGAACAAUUGAACGAGCUACUGACUUAUUGGAAAUAAUACAUACCGAUGUAUGCGAUCCGAUGAGUGUUAAGGCUCGUGGCAAGUAUCGUUAUUUUCUAACCUUCACGGAUGAUUUGAGCAGAUAUGGGUAUAUCUACUUAAUGAAACAUAAGUCUGAAAUAGUUGAAAAGUUCAGAGAAUUUCAGAGUGAAGUGGAAAAAUCAUCGUAACAAGAAAAAUAAAGUUUCUACGAUCUGAUCAUGGAGACGAAUAUUUGAGUUACGAGUUUGGUCUACAUUUGAAACAAUGCGGAAUAGUUUCGCAACUCACGCCACCCGGAACACCACAGCGUAAUGGUGUGUCCGAACGUCAUAAUCGUACUUUAUUGGAUAUUGUACAAUCUAUGAUGUUUCUUACCGAUUUACCACUAUCGUUUUGGGGUCAUACAUUAAAGACAGCUGCAUUCACGUUAAAAAGGGGCACCACCUAAGUCCGUUGAGACGACACAAUAUGAACUGUGGUUUGGCAAGAAACCAAAGUUGUCGUUUCUUAAAAGUUUGGGGCUGCGAUGCUUAUGUGGAAAAGUUUCAUCCUGAUAAGCUCAAACCCAAAUCGGAGAAAUGUGUCUUCAUAGGAUACCCAAAGGAGAAAGUUGGGUACACCUUCUAUCACAGAUCCGAAGGCAAGACAUUCGUUGCUAAGAAUGGAUCCUUUCUAGAGAAGGAGUUUCUCUCGAAAGAAGUGAGUGGGAGGAAAGUAGAACUUGAUAAGGUAAUUGUACCUUCUCCCUUAUUGGAAAGUAGUUCAUCACAGAAAUCUGUUCCUGUGACUACUACACCAAUUAGUGAGGAAGCUAAUGAUGAUGAUCAUGUAGCUUCAGAUCAAGUUACUAUCGAAUCUCGUAGGUAAACCAGAGUAAGAUCCGCACCAGAGUGGUACGGCAAUCCUGUUCUGGAAGUCAUGCUACUAGAUCAUGAUGAACCUACGAACUAUGAAGAAGCGAUGGUGAGCCCAGAUUCCGCAAAAUGGCUUGAGGCCAUAAGAUCUGAGAUAACAUCCAUGUAUGAAAACAAAGUAUGGAAUUUGGUUGACUUGCCCAAUGAUCGGCGAGACAUUGAGAUUAAAUGGAUCUUCAAGAGGAAGACGGACGCUGAUAGUGUUACUAUCUACAAAGCUAGAAUUGUCGCAAAAGGUUUUCGACAAGUUCAAGGUGUUGACUACGAUGAGAGUUUUUCACUCGUAUCUAUGCUUAAGUCUGUCUGAAUCAUGUUAGCAAUUGCCACAUUUUAUGAAAUCUGGCAAAUGGAUGUCAAAACUGCAUUCCUUAAUGGAUUUUUUAAAAAAGAGUUGUAUAUGAUGCAACCAGAAGGUUUUGUCGAUCCGAAAGGUGCUAACAAAAUGUGCAAGCUCCAGCGAUCCAUCAAUGAACUGGUGCAAGCAUCUCGGAGUUGGAAUAUACACUUUGAUAAGUUGAUCAAAGCAAAGCCUGUAUUUACAAGAAAGUGAGUGGGAGCACUACAGCAUUUCUGAUAAGUAUAUGUGAAUGACAUAUUGUUGAUCGAAAAUAAUGUAGAAUCUUUCUGGAAAGCAUAAAGGAGUGUUUGAAAGGAGUUUUUCAAAGAAAGACCUUGGUGAAGCUGCUUACACAUUGAGCAUCAAGACCUAUAAAGAUAGAUCAAGACGCUUGAUAAGAUUUUUCAAUGAGUACAUACCUUGACAAGAUUUUGAAGUAGUUCAAAAUGGAACAGUCAAAGAAAGAGUUCUUGCAUGUGUUGCAAGGCGUGAAGUUGAGUAAGACUCAGAACCCGACCAUGGCAGAAAAUAGAAAAGAAUGAACAGUCAUUCCCUAUGCAUCAGUCAUAGGUUCUAUAAAAGUAUGCCAUGCUAUGGACCAGACCUAUUGUAUACUCUGCCAUGGUUUGGCAAGAGAGUACAAUAGUGAUCUUGGAGUAGAUCACUAGACGUUGGUCAAAAUUAUCCUUAGUGGAAUAAGGAUAUGUUUCUCGAUUAUGGAGGUGACAAAAAGGUUCGUCGUAAAGGGUUAAGUCGAUACAAGUUUUGGCACUGAUCCAGAUGACUCUAUGUCUUAAUCUGGAUACAUAUUGAAAGUGGGAGCAAUUAGCUAGAGUAGCUCCGUGCAGAGCAUUGUAGACAUAGAAUAUUUGCAAAAUACAUACGGCUCUGAAUGUGACAGACCCAUUGACUAAACUUCUCUCACAAGAAAAACAUGAUCAUACCUUAGUACUCUUUGGGUGUUAAUCACAUAGCGAUGUGAACUAGAUUAUUGACUCUAGUAAACCCUUUGGGUGUUGAUCACAUGACGAUGUGACAUAUUGGUGUUAAAUCACAUGGUGAUGUGAACUAGAUUAUUGACUCUAGUGCAAGUGGGAGACUGAAGGAAAUAUGCCCUAGAGGCAAUAAUAAAGUUAUUAUUUAUUUCCUUAUUUCAUGAUAAAUGUUUAUUUUUCAUGCUAGAAUUGUAUUAACCGGAAACAUAAUACAUGUGUGAAUACAUAGACAAACAGAGUGUCACUAGUAUGCCUCUACUUGACUAGCUCGUUAAUUAAAGAUGGUUAUGUUUCCUAACCAUAGACAUGAGUUGUCAUUUGAUUAACGGGAUCACAUCAUUAGGAGAAUGAUGUGAUUGACUUGACCCAUUCCGUUAGCUUAGCACUUGAUCGUUUAGUAUGUUGCUAUUGCUUUCUUCAUGACUUAUACAUGCUCCUAUGACUAUGAGAUUAUGCAACUCCUGUUUACCGGAGGAACACUUUGUGUGCUACCAAAUGUCACAACAUAACUGGGUGAUUAUAAAGGUGCUCUACAGGUGUCUCCGAAGGUACAUGUUGGGUUGGCGUAAUUCGAGAUUAGGUUUUGUCACUCCGAUUGUCGGAGAGGUAUCUCUGGGCCCUCUCGGUAAUAGACAUCACUUAAGCCUUGCAAGCAUUGUAACUAAUGAGUUAGUUACGGGAUGAUGUAUUACGGAACGAGUAAAGAGACUUGCCGGUAACGAGAUUGAACUAGGUAUUGGAUACCAACGAUCGAAUCUUGGGCAAGUAACAUACCGAUGACAAAGGGAACAACGUAUGUUGUUAUGCGGUUUGACCGAUAAAGAUCUUCAUAGAAUAUGUAGGAACCAAUAAAAACAUCCAGGUUCCGCUAUUGGUUAUUGACCGAGAAUAGUUCUAGGUCAUGCCUACAUAGUUCUCGAACCCGUAGGGUCCGCACGCUUAACGUUACGAUGACAGUUUUAUUAUGAGUUUAUAAGUUUUGAUGUACCGAAGGUUGUUCGGAGUACCGGAUGUGAUCACGGACAUGACAAGGAGUCUCGAAAUGGUCGAGACAUAAAGAUUGAUAUAUUGAACGGAUAUAUUUGGACACCGGAAAGGUUCCGGAUGAGAUUGGGACUAUACCGGAGUUCCGGGAGGUUACCGGAACCCCCGGUAAGUAUAUGGGCCUUAUUGGGCCUUAGUGGAAGGGAGGGAGAAGGAGCAAAGGAGGGGGAGCCCCCCCCCCCCCAAGCCCAAUCCGAAUUGGGAGGGGGGUCGGCCCCCCCUUUCCUUCUUCCCUCCCCUCUCUUCCUUCCCUCUCCUACUCCUAAUAGGAAAGGGGGGCCAAACCUACUUGGAGUAGGUUUGCCCCCCCUAGGGCGCGCCUCCCCUCUUGGCCGGCCCCCUCCUCCUCUCCCCUUUAUAUACGAAGGAGGGGGGCACCCCAUAGACACACAAGUUGAUCUACGGAUCGUUCCUUAGCCAUGUGCGGUGCCCCCUUCCACCAUAUUCCACCUCGGUCAUAUCAUCGCGGAGUUUAGGCGAAGCCCUGCGCCGGUAGAACAUCAUCAUCGUCACCACGCCGUCGUGCUGACGGAACUCAUCCCCGACGCUUUGCUGGAUUGGAGCCCAGGGAACGUCAUCGAGCUGAACGUGUGCUGAACACGGAGGUGCCGUACGUUCAGUGCUUGGAUCUGUCGGAUCGUGAAGACGUACGACUACAUCAACCGCGUUGUCAUAACGCAUCCGCUUAACGGUCUAUGAGGGUACGUGGACAACACUCUCCCCUCUCGUUGCUAUGCCAUCACCAUGAUCUUGCGUGUGCGUAGGAAUUUUUUUUGAAAUUACUACGUUCCCCAACACGGACCACCGCAAAUAACGUGGCACUGCCGGUUCAACAGUAUUAACUGCCCUUUUGUGAAGCUUCUUAUCGUGCUUGCACAAACUAGUAGUGAACACAUGAUACUGCCCGUCAUUCAACUGCUUUGGGUGACUCUGAUAACCUGACUGCUGCUGAUUCCCUUGAUUAUUCUGUUGGUUAUUACCACCUUUGUUGUUUUGGUUGCCCUGAUUAUUCUGAAAUCCAGAGUUUGAACCGCCGCCACCACCAAAGCCUGGACCUGAAGCGCCCAACGGACCCUGAUCAUACCGGAAGAGAUCAGAGUUUUUGAACUCCUUCAUGAUGAAGCAAUCCUUCCAAAGAUGUGUUGCUGGAACCUCCUUGGUCCUAUGCUUUGGACAGGGCUGGUUUAACAGUCGUUCCAACUUCAUCUUUAAUGACUUAAACCGACAGUUACGCUCCAGUGUUAUGAUUGCUUGGCCGGCAUUAAUCCGGUCCGACGAAUGCAAAACUUCUGAAACCGGCACACCCAAUGAGUUGUUGACUCGUUCUCUCCUUGAACACAGGGAUCCAGAUCCACAAUUGACAUAGGUUGUUUGCAUGUAUCCUUGAAAUUUGCUAUAAACUGGGCCUUCAAUUGGUCCCAUGACUCGAUGGAGUUAGCUGGCAGGUUCUUCAACCAUGUACGGGCUGUCCCUUCCAACAUCAUUGUGAAGUACUUUGCACAAGCUGCUUCAUCCACAUCCAGCAUCUCCAUCGCCAUCUCAUAACUUUCAACCCACGCCUCAGGUGGCUGGUCUAUGGUGUAAUUAGGCACCUUACGUGGACCCUUGAAAUCCUUGGGCAGUCGCACAUUACGGAGAGCCGGAAUGAAACACGGUACUCCCCAGGAACUGAAGGCAAGCCCGGUGCCUCGGUCUACUGAUGCUGCUGGCUGAACCGAGGCGGGUUGAUAACGACCCGCAUAUUGUGCUGCUAAAGCGGCCUCCCUUCGUGCUCUGCCAUUAUCCACCACAUCCUGAGCAUUCACUUCACCGCGCGCCGGAUUGGGUCCUUGAGGGACGUUACGGCGCCACGCACUGCUGGACACUUCUGGUUCAUCUAUGUGUCUGCUAUAGCUUUUGCUCGGACGGGGGGUCGUGUGAAUCCUGUCUCGGCUAUAUGAGUAAGCCUGCUGCUGCACCAUAGCAGUCUGAAGAAGAUCCCUGGCCCGCCAUGUCUCAACCGCCGCUGGCGAUUCACCCUCCAUCGGGAUAGCUGCCAGUCGGGAUGCCGCUACUAUCAUGUUAUCCAAAGGGGUAGAGAAGUGAACUGGCGGGGGUGUUGUGUACCGCGGCGGGUUGUCGGUUCAUCGAGGCGGACCCAUUACCUGAGGUUGAUCCGGCGCACCAACCCUGGGCAUGAUAGUCCGGUUUACUGCUGCCGGAUUGCUGGUUCCUGCCCCUGGCGUACUGAAGAGAUUCAUUGCGUUGUAAUCCACCGGCAAACGAGACUGAUGUCUCCUCCUCAAUACUUCAUUCGAGACGUUUUGAUCCAGCAAGAGUCGAUAAUUCUAGGCCUGAAUCCUCUGUGUCUGGGCAUCUAAAGCGGCCCGUUCCUCUGCCAUCCUGGUCUCCUCAGCCGCCAAGUCCUCCUUGGCCUGCGUUAUCUGAUCCCGUAGCUUAGUGACCUUUGCGUUAUGCCGAUCUUGAGUCUCUGGGGUAACUGCUGUGGCCAAUAAUGUCGUCUAAGCAUCCAACAAACCGGACAGAACUUGUCAGGGAUAUACCCCGCGGUGUAACCCGGCCGGAAGUAUAACCCGGCCGGACUCGGCGACUCACGGAUGACCCGCCCUGACUGGACGACACACUAAGUGACCCGCCAGAUCCUGGCGACUUAUGGGUGACCUGGCAAGCGGAUCAGAGGAGCGACAAGACCCGGGGGCCCAGGAGGCUCAAGGCCUAGAAGGUCGGCUUACGUUAUGAUAGGCCGGCUUAAGAGGAAAGGCGUGAGGAAUAUCUCCCUUACAAGGAAUCAAGACCCGGACUUGUAUCCGGCUUGUAGUACAAGAUAGGCUAGUCCUAAUCCUAUUUGGACUCCACAUGUAACCCGCCCCUCUAACUUAUAUAAGGAGGGGCAGGGCUCCCCAAAGGGAGGGAGGCAACAAGAACAAUCUCUAGGGCUAGACACAAAGGGGGAGCCGGCUUACGGCGACUCCUCUCAUGAGCAUAAUGAGACCUAGCCACAAACAGCAUGUAGGGUUAUUACCGGAUGAUGUUUCUCGGGGCCCGAAGUUGUCUAAAUCCUUGUCUUGCGUGUUGCAUCUCUCGUCCCAAUCAACCCCUCUCAAGCUACCACAUAGAUGUGUUGGCCUCGCGACUAAGUCCUGACACUAAGGACAUCUGACGUGUUAAUUCCACGACAGUUGGCGCCCACCGUGGAGCUCGCGCACGGUGGUGAUGAGUUCUUGGAGGGAUCUCUCCUAGGGUUCGAGAAGCUCACGAUUUCGUCGGAUGAGAAAGAGCCAACAAGUUGGUUGUUUUACGAUCUGGAACAUGAUUAAACUUUGGAGCCUGCAAACUUAGAUUUCACGAGAAACUAGGGUUUCGACUUGUGCGCCGCCGGGCGCAUCUUUAGCAUAUUGUCAGUUCAAGGGCGGAUACACAGGAGCAAUCUAGCGUAACCAAGCUGUCCUGAUCAGCGGUAGUCACAACAAAUACGUGAUUGGUUCGGCCCUAAAGCCAACGUUGGAACUUGGAAGGAAAAAGAAAACAAAGGACAGCGACAAGGCGUCGAAGACCAGCAUCCAAAUUGACAGCGACAAGAAACUAACUUUGUUCAGAUUCUAACUCGGUCGGUGCCAUUAAAGGGAAACUAGGAUUGUGUAACGGUCCGUGAGAUGCGCCGUGAGUCGCCGAGACCGACAAGUUCUUUGCUGCCGAUUCAACGCAUAAGCAGCGAUGGAGAUCGAUUUUUGUACGGGUAGUCCGUCGAGGUGGACACAAAGUUUCCGCUGCGCCCUGCUGUCAAAAUUGCAAGUCAUCUCUGUACGCACGCGUUCAAAGCCAUCCAGCGAAUCUUGCAACAGUAGCGAUGUCACAUGUCUGAAGCUACAGCCCCACCCCCACGUGAAGGACCAAGAACCAAUGUUUACGCAAGAAUCAAAAGCUAACAUUACUGCUUACUCCUACAUGGGAAGGACAUAGACAUAUAAAAAAUUGCUACUAUUGCCAAAGAUCCCUCACGUGAGUUUGCUAAUGUGCUAGUUCACAUAUAAAAAAAAGGAGAGAAAAAAGGGGCCACGACCCGAAGGAAGACCCGAAUUCGGAGCUGCUGCUCUAUGCAACGAGCCGCUGCGGCGCCCUCUGCUGUUGCACUUUGGCGCCUGGACUGCCGCUGCGGCCUUGCCUUGCCUCUGAACGGCCUCGCCGCCAAGUUGCCGUGGCCGGGCCUCACUAACCUUGCGAGCCGGCUUGCUGCCUCUGCUGGCGCUGCCCUUGCCCCUCCAGCCGCUCACCUCAGCACCCUAGACCCUUUGCCUGGACCGGUUCUCUGCUUCGAGUCGCUGGACCUUGCCUCCGUCGUUCCGCCGCGGUCCCGCUUUUAGCUGCUGUCGUGCUAAGCUAAGCCGCCACCGCGGUUGCUGUCUUGAGCCGCUCCUCCGCUGCCGUCCCGCGCUGAGUCGCUGGACCGGCCCUCGGUUCCUCUGGGACAACCGGCCUAGCCGCCUCACUCUUGCGACCUUAGGCUAUCCUCUGCUACAACACCUCUGUCGUAACCCGCCGAGAGCUGCUGUUUCAAGCCACCUCGCAGGCUGCAGGUGACCCGCCCGCGCCCGAUUCCGAGCCGCCAGGGCCCCUCAGCCGCUAUGUCGAGUCGCAAUUGGAUGGAUGCUUGUGGAUGGCAAUGGUUUUAAGGCUUCAGUUACCUCAGUUUUUGAUGGUUUCAAGGUGUAGAUAUGGCGAAGGAGAUACCCUGGGCAUUGCAUGUGUACAUAAUGGUUCAAAGACCAAUCUGCCUACAAUAAAGGAAUAGGAGUCCAGCAAUACUCACUGUUGCAUAUGCCUGCUGAACUGCUCGGAUCUGUCUACCCCUGCGGCUGCUGGACCAACAGAUGCACCGUAUGCUGCUAUUUCAAAGUGCAGGAAAAAACAGCUCCAACGGUGCAUGCAGGAAUCAGCCAAAGCUAACAUGAUUAGCCUCGGCCAACGCAAAUGAUAUAUUGGCGUAAAAAAAUUAAAUUUGGGGACGACCUCCAAAGCUUGAUGGAUACGUGGGUGGAUACGAAGGCCCACUAAAACUGCAUUUUUGCUUCUAUCGAUACGUCCGACGAAAACCCAGGAUGAUCACGGAUGCACGGCAAUGCACCAGAAGCACCUGCGUUCGUCCGUGAUGUUGUGCGUGUCUGCAUGGGGGACAAACACGCAGACUGCCGCCUCUGUGAUCUGGCUUACGAUGCCGCGGCCAAGUCACCUGUCCGCACCGGCUUACAACGUCGCGGUCGGUUCAUCUGUCUGCUCUUGCAGCCGACUUGGUCGUGAUUAAUUUCCACUUCACCAUGGUGAUCAACUCCGCGGUGGAUAAUAAUUGCCUGACAUAUCAGGUGAAAUCUAUCCAAUAUAUUUUUAUAAUAUAUAUUGAUUUUCUUUAAAAGAGCAAUUACUCUGUCUUGCAAGUUCUCCAAUGCAGGACAGGUUAUAUCACUGAGCUGUUGACUGACUCAUGCCAGUUUAUAUCACGGUCAAAUAUGGAGAAUCUCAAGACAACUCCUUGAGUCGCCUUGAGACUCGGGGGCUACGAUGACAUGACUCAGUAAAUGAUUGCCAAUUUAAAGCAGAUUCAAGAACUCCGGAUUAUUGGAGGGAAAAAUAACCCAGCCCUGGAGGCUACUGCCUUAUUGGCAAAUAUUUAAAGACCGUCAGAAAAUUUCCGGCUUAAAAAAGGAGGAUUCCGGUUCAAGGGAAAUUUAUUUACCACAAAGCUUUGAAGCUCUCAAAUCCGGUUCAAGGUAAAUUUAUCUCUCACAAAGUUUUGAAACUUUCAAAUCCGGUUUAAAGUUUCUGUUCAAAAAGAAUUAAUCUCUUGCAAGUUCAAGUUCUCAGAAAGAUUAAAGGGUGCUAAAAAGAACUUGCUGCCAUGAUGCGCGGUUCAAACAUGGGUAUCCUGCCUUACGGCUUAUCUUAUUAUGAUCACUUGGGGGCUUCCUGCUCAUCGGGCAUAGCCAUCAGUACCCUCUUGAUCGGUGCAAUGCCAAAAUUUAUACGGUCACUUGGGGGCUUCCUGUUCAAACAUAGGUCAUAUUCGAACCAAAGAGAACAUAGCUGUCGAUACCCUUUUGAUUAGCAAACUGCUGAACCUACUUGGGAGCUUCUUGAUCGUAUCCGAAUCAUAGCUCAACCCCUUUGGGAAUCAACGUGGAUCGUAUUCGAAUCAGCGUCGUUAAACAACUCUUAAGGUCACUUGGGGGCUUCCUGUUCAAACAUAGGUCGUAUCCAAACCAAAGAAAACAUAGCUGUCGAUACCCAUUUGAUCGACAUCGCCAACGCCACUGGGGGCUACAUGAUCGUAUUCGAAUCUUAGCUUAACCCCUUUGGAACGGUUUACUGAUCGUAUUCGAAUCAGAAGCCUCAAAUUUUUUAUCUAUUUUUAUACAAUCACAAGUAUUUGAGUUGUCACAAAUAUCUUAUGUGCCGGCUUUUACAGAGUUGAGUUAUCAACUUCACUGUCCGGGUCACAUAAACCGGCGGUAUCAUUCAAAGGAUCAUAGGGAUCUUGUGAUCUACUUGUGUGCAGGAUAAGACUACAUUUGGGUGGUUACCUGCCCUGGCUUUUGAUGUUAAGUCGCCAGGGCGUAUGUUGUUUAAAAUCUAUGCAGGAUUUGCAGAACUAUGACUUAUAUAAAUGCUUCAGUCAAAGCUCAUCACUGAAACUGGUGUCUCAAAAGGGUUAUCAAUUAUUGAUUUUCUCAAGGGCUAUAGGACACUGGGUUACAAAAAUUUUGUCUUACAAUGAAUGCGUAUUAAGUCGUCAUCGGCCAAGAGCCGCCAGGUAUUUAAACUCUGGAUUUACUUGUCAACCGAUGAGGUAUUUACAUCUUUAAUAGCCAAAAUUGGCUGGAUUUUCAUGAUGAUAUUGAAUGAUUGAGGUUUUCAUACCGGAUUAUAUUAUUCAAAUCUUUAAUAGCCAAAACAUGGCUGGAUUCUUAUUAUGGUUAUCAAUAGCCGAUAUUAUGAUGGAGGUCUUCAAAGUCGCUUCAGCGCAAUGGCUAUUAUUUUAUUAAUGGAUAUGAUUUAUUCUACAAUGGAAGGAAUAGUCCCGAGUCGCUGCAGGCUUACGACCCGGCACUUGGGGGCUACAUUAUUCAAAUUAAGGGUACAUCAAAUAUGCAAGUCUCAUGUCGCUGCAAGUAUGCACCAUGACACUUGGGGGCUAAUGCAAAGUCAUUUUUGCUCACCUCAUCACAUCAUAAUGAGCCGGCCCUUGGGGGCUACCAAUUGCUCCUGUCAACAAUUCAAGGUACACAAGUCUUAAUCCAUUAUAUUGAAAAGUUCACUACUCAGUUGGUAGAGUACAAAGCUCUUAACCUUAUGGACGUGGGUUCGAGCCCCAUGGUGAGGCUUACAUCAUAUGAUAUUAUUUUCAGUGAAGUAUAUAUAAAGUCCCAGCUAAGUAUUAUCUUACUAAGCCGGCCCUUGGGGGCUACAGAUUGACGUUCAAGUUUACAUGGUUAUAUCUAUAAAGUCCCUGCUCAUUAUUGCAUAAUGAACCGACCCUUGGGGGCUACACUGGUUGAAGUUUUUAUGAGCAUAAGGCAAUUUCAUGUCCCAGGUUGCUGCAAGCAUGACAACUCGGCACUUGGGGGCUAUAGGUAAUAUGGAUAUAAGGGAGAAAUAUCUUCCAAUUUUCAGUUUUGAGCAAACCAGAUUGACCCGGCAUCACCAAUCAUUAUGACCCGGUGUCUGCAACAAUCAUAACCCGGCGUCAUCAAAAAUCAUGAACCAGCAUUGGUAACAAUCAUGAACCAGCGUUGGAAACAAUCAUGACCAGGAAUUAUCAGUUUUUAUAGCCCGGUGAUUUUGGAAAUCAUAGAUCGGCAAGUUCUAUAUUUUCAAACCAGCUGAAUAUCAGAUGAGUAUUUCAAGACCAAUAUUUCUUAAGCCGGCGCUUUGGAAGCCGACUCAAAUGGAUUAUUUGUUUACAAUAUUUCUUCUACAAGCAAAUUGAUUGUGAAGCUGGUCUAUUGACCCGAAUUUUUCUAGAAGAAGGAAAUAACAAAGACUUAAGGAUGUUCAGGGGCCAGUUUACAAGAAUUCUUAACCUGGAGCACAACCUGUCAAAUUUGUUCUUGUGUUUAUUUUGCAGCAUAAGUUUACCAUGGAUAAAUCCAAGCUAAACUUGGGGGAUAAUGUCGAGGAUAUACCCCGCGGUGUAACCCGGCCAGAAGUAUAACCCGGCCGGACUCGGCGACUCACGGAUGACCCGCCUUGACUGGACGACGCACUAAGUGACCCGCCCGAUCCUGGCGACUUAUGGGUGACCUAGCAAGCGGAUCAGAGGAGCGACAAGACCCGGGGGCCCAGGAGGCUCAAGGCCCAGAAGGCCGGCUUACGUUAUGAUAGGUCGGCUUAAGAGGAAAGGCGUGAGGAAUAUCUCCCUUACAAGGAAUCAAGACCCGGACUUGUAUCCGGCUUGUAGUACAAGAUAGGCUAGUCCUAAUCCUAUUUGGACUCCACAUGUAACCCGCCCCUCUAACUUAUAUAAGGAGGGGCAGGGCUCCCCAAAGGGAGGGAGGCAACAAGAACAAUCUCUAGGGCUAGACACAAAGGGGGAGCCGGCUUACGGCGACUCCUCUCAUGAGCAUAAUGAGACCUAGCCACAAACAGCAUGUAGGGUUAUUACCGGAUGAUGUUUCCCGGGGCCCGAAGCUGUCUAAAUCCUUGUCUUGCGUGUUGCAUCUCUCAUCCCGAUCAACCCCUCUCAAGCUACCACAUAGAUGCGUUGGCCUCGCGACUAAGUCCUGACACUAAGGACAUCUGACGUGUUAAUUCCACGACAGAACUUGUGCCGGCCGGUGCGCGGGGCCUCCUGCCCUAGCUGCUGGUCCGGAACCCAAUGCGACCGCAGUAGAAUUUUGCAAAGUUGGUUGUGUACCGGCCAUGAAGAUUGCGACCCGGUUCGGCGGUUCAAGAAAUCCCAGAAUACUAGUGCCACCGGAAUACCCUUCGAACACACCGUCAUGAACUUGGUACAGGGACUCGGUUUCACCGGUGCAUGACUCGCCAUCGGAAUAAACGGCCAUCUCACCUUCGGACACCAGUUCAGAUCUGAUCCCAUGGACACAUCCUACGAAUGCACGCUUCAUGGCAGGCUGAAUCCGGGCGGGACUUGCACGUUGAGCCAUCUCGAUGAAGUCGGUGCAGAUGUCCGGCUCAGGGCCCGGUUCGCCGAUCUUGCCGAUGAAAACAUGAAUUCCGCCAAAGGGGACCCGGUGUUGGGGAACGUAGUAAUUUCAAAAAAAUUCCUACGUACACGCAAGAUCAUGGUGAUGGCAUAGCAACGAGAGGGGAGAGUGUCCGUCCACGUACCCUCGUAGAUCGUAAGCGGAAGCGUUAUGACAACGUGGUUGAUGUAGUUGUACGUCUUCACGAUCCGACCGAUCCAAGCACCGAACGUAAGGCACCUCCGAGUUCAGCACACGUUCAGCUCGAUGACGAUCCCCGGGCUCCGAUCCAGCAAAGCUUCGGGGAUGAGUUCCGUCAACACGACGGCGUGGUGAUGAUGAUGAUGCUCUACCGGCGCAGGGCUUCGCCUAAGCUUCGCGACGAUAUGACCGAGGUGGAAUAUGGUGGAGGGGGGCACCGCACACGGCUAAGGAACGAUCCGUAGAUCAACUUGUGUGUCAUGGGGUGCCCCCUUGCCCCCGUAUAUAAAGGAGCAAGGGGGAGGGGCGGCCGGCCAAGGAGAGGCGCGCCAAGGGGAGUCCUACUCCCACCGGGAGUAGGACUCCCUCCUUCCUUGUUGGAGUAGGAGAAGGGGGAAAGAGGGGGAGAGGAGGAAGGAAAGACGGGCUGCACCCCUUGUCCAAUUCGGACCAGAGGGGGGCUGCGCGCCUCCUUCCUUUCGGCCUCUCUCCUCAAUUCUCGUAUGGCCCAAUAAGGCCCAUAUACUCCCCGGCGAAUUCCCGUAACUCUCCGGUACUCCGAAAAAUACCCAAAUCACUCGGAACCUUUCCGAACUCCGAAUAUAGUCGUCCAAUAUAUCGAUCUUUAUGUCUAGACCAUUUCGAGACUCCUCGUCAUGUCCCCGAUCUCAUCCGGGACUCCGAACUCCUUCGGUACAUCAAAACUCAUAAACUCAUAAUAUAACUGUCAUCGAAACCUUAAGCGUGCGGACCCUACGGGUUCGAGAACUAUGUAGACAUGACCUAGAACUAUUCUUGGUCAAUAACCAAUAGCGGAACCUGGAUGCCCAUAUUGGCUCCUACAUAUUCUACAAAGAUCUUUAUCGGUCAAACCGCAUAACAACAUACUUUGUUCCCUUUGUCAUCGGUAUGUUACUUGCCCGGGAUUUGAUCGUCGGUAUCCAAUACCUAGUUCAAUCUCGUUACCGGCAAGUCUCUUUACUCGUUACGUAAUGCAUCAUCCCGUAACCAACUCAUUGGUCACAUUGCUUGCAAGGCUUAUAGUGAUGUGCAUUACCGAGAGGGCCCAGAGAUACCUCUCCGACAAUCGGAGUGACAAAACCUAAUCUCGAAAUACGCCAACCCAACAUGUACCUUUGGAGACACUUUUAGUACUCCUUUAUAAUCACCCAGUUACGUUGUGACGUUUAGUAGCACCCAAAGUGUUCCUCCGGUAAACGGGAGUUGCAUAAUCUCAUAGUUACAGGAACAUGUAUAAGUCAUGAAGAAAGCAAUAGCAACAUACUAAACGAUCAAGUGCUAGGCUAACGGAAUGGGUCAAGUCAAUCACAUCAUUCUCCUAAUGAUGUGAUCCCGUUAAUAAAAUGACAACUCUUUUGUCCAUGGUUAGGAAACAUAACCAUCUUUGAUAAACGAGCUAGUCAAGUAGAGGCAUACUAGUGACACUAUGUUUGUCUAUGUAUUCACACAUGUAUUAUGUUUCCGGUUAAUACAAUUCUAGCAUGAAUAAUAAACAUUUAUCAUGAUAUAAGCAAAUAAAUAAUAACUUUAUUAUUUCCUCUAGGGCAUAUUUCCUUCACCCGGUACCCGUACUCAAUUGAGCCGGCCUCAGAGCCCCAUCCUGCGUCGUUGAUAUAGAGCUUGCCGCGACGACUCUUGGUCAUCCGGCCAACCGUGUACCCUUUGAGUCCUUCAAAGCUGCCCUUCAAGAACUCAAAACCAUCAUGCAAUAGCCCCACGGUGGGCGCCAAUUGUCGUGGAAAUAUCACGUCAGAUGUCCUCGUGAAAGGACUUAGUCGUGGAGCCACCGCGACGGGUUAGCUUAAAGGGGUUAAACCGGACAAAGGACACGGGAGUUUUAUACUAGUUCGGCCCCUUACAAUGAAGGUAAAAGCCUACGUCUAGUUGUGAUGGAAUUAUUGGGGUUUCGAUUACCAGGGAGCAAACACGCUAUGCCUGGCUUUCGAGUUGUUGUUUCUUGUCCCUGAACCGCCGCCGGGUCGUCCCUUUAUAUACAUAGGUUGACGCCCGGCCAGUUUGCAGAGUCCCGAGGCUGGCUUAUACAAGUGUCCGGCUCGGUCUCUCCUUUCCUAACUUACAAUACAAGUUAUACAAUGAUGGCAGUUUAUAUCUAUGGGCCCUAAUCCGCCUUUGGGCUCUGGGCCUUUAAGCUUCAUCAGUAAAGCACCAUCUUCUGGGCCUUCAUGGGCUUCAAUAUAGUUGAGGGUGAACCGGCCCCUUCUGGGCGGUUUACACUCAGUAGUUGUAUCCCCAACAGAGGACUUGGAAGGGUUUGACAUUGCUCAGUGCUGAAGCUGAUCUUCAAGACGAUGGCUUCACAGAGAGAUUCAAGUUUGACUCCACUCCUCUAAGGAAUGUUGUCUUGCGUCGAACUCCAUCUCUUGAAGACUCAGAGUACUCUUCCUCUGCAGCUAUGGUAAAUGUCGGAGUUCUUGAUGACGCCGAUGAUGCUACUUCACCACCUCCAACAUCAGCGUGUAUCGACACUGCACCAAGUUCUUCGGCACCACCAAACCUCAAUGACGACCCUGCUACUUCACCUACUCCUCAUGGGAACGAGUAGCGACUAUGUCUUCAAACCUUUUUGGUCCUUACUGACAAAAGGGGGAGAAGCAUAUGUUGAUAGUCUUCAAGCGGGUCCAUAUGGGUGGUUGCUAUACUUGUGCCUAGUGUUUACAACUCUUGUUUUGAUACAUUUGGUUCUUUGAGUUGUAACACUUAAACUUGAUGGUCGUCUACUACUUUCUCUGCUAUUCUGUGAUGCAACGAUAAAUUCUGCAUGUGCGAUGAUAAAUCCCGCAUGAAGUCAUUUCGCAGACGUCCAUCUUUCAUUAUGCAUGUCAAUAUUCCUGUAUAUCUAUUCAUGCAUGAUGUAUUGUAUUCAUAUGGUGAGAAGGAUCUCCACAAGUACAACCUGCCAUGUGCAUUUGCAUUCCAACGCAAAACAUUUAUAUGCACAUCUUCAGGGGGAGCCUUUGCCACUUAUGAAGACAAUGUCCUAAUCCUUUACAAUUUCACAUACUUUUAUCCCUGUUGAAAACUUCAACCAGUUUGUCAUCAAUCACCAAAAAGCGGGAGAUUGGAAGUGCAUCUAGUGCCAACCCUAGUUGGUUUUGGAGUAUUGACGACAAACCUGGUUGAGGGACUAAUGUGUUUGUGAGAAUUACAGGAUAACACAGGUAGUAGUCCCUCAUUGAUUCGGUUUACCUACCGGAUAUGACCCCUAAAAAUAUGUGAAGACAUUGAAGACAAUGGUGGUCUGUGAAGCUAAUCACGUUGAAGGCUAUGACAUGAGAAGACAACGUCUGAAGACUAUGGAGCGUGAAGACUUAGCUGUUUCGUUGUUUCUUUUCUUUUUUGUUGAGUCAUAGGAACCACCGCACUGUUAAGUGGGGUCCAAGUGAACAAAGUCAGAGUGACUAAAGUGAUGCUCAACAAAAUCCUAUGUGUUCGAGCGAAGACAAUGAGUGCAAAUCUUAUCCAGAGUCGGAUAAGUCAGCUUUACUUGUAGCCCAAGUCAAGCUGCCGCGUGUGUUUGAAAUCUGACCGUUGCGACACGUGUCAGUUCAUUAGUGACCCAGGGUCAUUUCGGAGAAAUCAGGUUGGGUUGCCCAGUGGCUAUAAAUAGCCCACCCCCUACACCAUAAAUUGGUGGCUGCUCAGAGUUAGUAUACGGCUUUUGUCGUUUGAGAGCAGCCCACCUCCGAAGCUUUUGAGAGAGAAUCCUUGCGAGGACAAAGCCCAAACCACCCAAAGCCCAAAGAGUGUUUGGCAUCACUGAAGUCUUUCUGCCCGUGCAAUCUGAAGACUUAUUUCACUUGAGGACUGUGAAUCCUCCAGCCGGUUAGGCGUCACGUUCUGAGCAUCCAAGAGUCAUUGUGGAUUGCCGGUGAACGAAGUCUGUGAAGGUUUGGGAGUCUACCUUGAAGACUUACCAGAGUGAUUGGGCGGGGACUCAGAGUCCUUAGCUCAAGGGGAAUAAGGUGAAGACGCGGUCUUCUGAGUUAAAUCUCGGCCUCCCUAACCAGACGUACAGUUGUCACAACAACUGGAACUGGUCGAACAAACCACUGUCUUCCUAAAGCUACUGGUUCCAUCUCUCACUUCUCUUUACUUACAGUUUGUCUUCGUGAAGUCAUUGCCUGCUUGAUUAAUCUGUUUGACUUCACUGUGAGACUACUUGUCUUGAUUGGCUUCAUACUAUCUUCCAUCCUGAUCUUUACUACCUAGCUGCUAAUAGUCUUCGUGCUUUCACUUCAUUGAAUACUUGACUAUGGCUUGUCUAGUGUAGUCUACCUUCUGCUGCAUACGAAUAGUGUUGUUUCUACUGUUUGUCUUUGAAACUCCCAUGUUUUGAAGACUUUCAUAAAAAUUGCCUAUUCACCCCCCCCCCCUCUAGUCGAUGAAUAGCCCUUUCAAAAAUUCACUAAAACAAAAAUAUUUUUUUAAUUUGGAGAAUUUUCUAAAAUACCUUUUUCUUUUUAGAAAUCUCAGACAAUUUUGAAAAACAACAAAAGUUUUCAAAAAAAUGGGAAACUUUUUCAAGUUCCGAAUAUUUUUCAAAAUAGCAAACAAAUUUGGAAUUCUGAACAUUUUCUAUAAUUUGUUUUUUAUUGAAAUUCUGAAUGUUUUUUGUGAAUUUUGAAUUUAUGAAAUAAAUUCUAUAAGAAAAAUAAACUUCGAAGGUAAAAAGAGAUAGGGGAAGGAGAAUGAAAAUAGAAGUAAAACACAAAAAGAAAGAAAAAUGGGCCAGCCCAUUAUUGGUUGUCCUGUGCGAAGCUCUGACUAUUUAUCGCCCUAUGCGGAGAAUAGAAUUUUCCCAGCUUUUUUUAGGAAAGAAUUUUCCAAGUUGCAUGGGUAAAAAAAUAAGUGGGCUGGCUUCGUUGGGCCACAGUGCGUGGCUCACAUACGAAAUUCUAGAAAAGUCUCUUUUCUAGCAGACGAACGCAUAAGAAUUUUUUACCACCUCGGAUAUAAAAAAAAUUGGUUGUGAACAGAUGAAAAAAUUGGCAAAAUGCACCUUGCUUUAUUAGUAGGUAUAGAUAUAGAUAUAGAUAUAGAUAUAGAUAUAGAUAUAGAUAUAGAGGUAUAGAUUUCAAUGUACUAACAAUAGAGCAUUGACCUUCAUCAAUGUAAAGUGGGAUGAUUUCAAGCAAUGGCCUGAAAGUGAAGCCUUUUAUCGACUCAAUUGUAGAGUAAGUACCUUGAGAUUUUAAUGCCUCUAAAUUCAUUAUUUCAGAAGGGAACCAAAAUACUACUUUCCACCAUAUAUAAAAGUUAAUCUAUAAUUUGAUUUGAAAAAACAUGUUGUUUGAUUAUCUUCAUCAUGGCGUGUUCAAAAUAUAUGAACCUAAAAUCAAUUUUGCAAGAAACUUACAAGCAUAGAACAUAGGGCACAGUAGAAGAAAGUGAAAAUUGAUCUAGCUAAAUUUGGAAGUACACAUACCCGUCUUUAUGAAACCCUCCCAGGAGUGUAUCUUAUGAUAUCUUCAAACCAAAUAAUUUUCAUACCGCAAGAGAUCACGAUAUCAAACUCUACCAUGAGUGUAUCAAUAUCCUUUGUUCUUUUUGAACCUGGUAAUCAUCAGACCGCAAGAGGCCACAAUAUCAACCCCUCGUCACACAUACAGAAACUCAGUCAAUUGUUAGAACAGCUAUGAGUAGUAGUAGCACCAGUGAAAGCACAAGUGCUCCCUGGGUGAUUUUGGUAAUUAAUGUCAGCAUAUCUCUUGUUGGACUAAUGCUUUUACCUAGUAUGUUUCAAAUAAGUUCAACAAUGGAGUGGCAUGGACUAGAGGAUGUGGAACCCUUUCAAGAUGCUAAGGACAAAAGGAUUGGCUCAAGCUCAAAGCACAAGACUCUACAUUUUACUUUUAGUUAUCCAAGAUCACAUUGAGUCCAUAGGAAAGCCAAUACUAUUAAGAGGGGAUAAGGUGUUGCUUAAUGGCUUACUUGCUCAAAGUGCUUAGUGAUAUGCUCCAAAGCCCUCUACUACUUUCUCACAUCCACAUAUAUCCCAAACCAAAAUUCAAACUCGGCCCCACUGAAUCUUUCUAUCCGGCGCCACCGAGUUAAGUUGACAUAGCCACUGCCAGAAACCCUAGUCUUUUCGGUCUCACCGAUAGGGAUCUCGGUCUCACCGAGAUGGGAUUGUAAUCUCUCUGUUUCCCUUCGUAAAGUUUCAGUCAAACCAAGAUGAGCGAUCGGUCCCACCGAGAUUGCAAUGCAAACUCUAUGUUUCCCUUUCGUAACGAUUCGGUCCAACCGAGAUGAGCGAAUUGGUCCCACCGAGUUUGCCUAACCAACUCUCUGGUUAGCUUAUUACCAAAAUCGGUCUCACCGAGUUUGUGUAAUCAGUCUCACCGAGAUUACGUUAUGCCCUAACCCUAAUGAUAUCGGUCCCACCGAGUUGACAUGUCGGUCCCACUGAAAUACCUAACGGUCACAUUAUGAACUAAAUCGGUCUGACCGAGUUUAACGAUUCGGUCCCAUCGAGUUUGGUAAGUUGUGUGUAACGAUUAGAUUUUGUGUGGAGGCUAUAUAUACCCCUCCACCCACUCUUCAUUCAUGGAGAGAGCCAUUAGAACAUGCCUACACUUCCAACAUACAUUUUCUAAGAGAGAACCACCUACACUUGUGUUGAGAUCAAGAUAUUCCAUUCCUACCACAUAAAUCUUGAUCUCUAGCCUUCCCCAAGUUGCUUUCCACUCAAAUCUUCUUUCAACCAAAUCCAAAUCAUAUGAGAGAGAGUUGAGUGUUUGGGAGACUAUCAUUUGAAGCACAAGAGCAAGGAGUUCAUCAUCAACACACCAUCUAUUACCUUUUGGAGAGUGGUGUCUCCUAGAUCGGUUAGGUGUCACUUGGGAGCCUCCGUCAAGAUUGUGGAGUUGAACCAAGGAGUUUGUAAGGGCAAGGAGAUCGCCUACUUCGUGAAGAUCUACCCUAGUGAGGCAAGUCCUUCGUGGACGACGGCCAUGGUGGGAUAGACAAGGUUGCUUCUUCGUGGACCCUUCAUGGGUGGAUCCCUCCGUGGACUCGCGCAGUUGUUGCCCUUCGUGGGUUGAAGUCUCCAUCAAUGUGGAUGUACGAUAGCACCACCUAUCGGAACCACGACAAAAACAUCCAUGUCUCCAAUUGCGUUUGCACACUCCAAUCCCAUCCCUUUACUUUCUUGCAAGUUGCAUGCUUUACUUUCCGCUGCUCAUAUACUCUUUGCAUGCUUGCUUGAUUUGUAUGGUGAAUUGUUAAACUUGUGCCAAAACUCCACCUUACCUUAAAGAGAUUAAAAACUGCCAACUUUGUGUGUUGAGUGUCUAAUCACCCCCCUCUAGACACCUCUUCUCGAUCCUUUCAAUUGAUAUCAGAGCUUUGGACUCCAUUGCUUUGGUUUAAUCACUAUUGGAGGAAGAUGCAUGAGUCUACUUUGGGGAGUCUUAGACAUAGAGUGCCUAUACUUGAUGGAGAAUAUUUUCAUGAGUGGAAAAAUGAGAUGCUUGUGAUUCUCAAUGAAUAUCAUUUGAACAAGUACAUUACUAGUCCUUGUGCACCUCAUGUUGAUCCUAUGCAUCCUACCCUUGAUGAGUCCAUUGACAUGAUUCGCAAUCUUAGACUGUUAAUCUUAUCACUAGAGACUUGCCUAGAAACUUGAUUGGUUGCUUGCCUACUCUUGAAUGUGCCUACACCAUAUGGAAAUUUCUUGAGAAACGAUUCCCAAAUUAUUCCUUGCAAAAUUUAGAUGAAAUUCUUCAUAAGUCUAUUGCCUUGAGUAAGAUGAAUUCCAAUGAUCCUAAGUUUGGUGAUUGUCUAUUUGAGCUUACAAAUCUUAUGCGUGCCAAAGGAGAGGUUGGAAUCAUUAGUGAUAUUAUUUCCGAAGCUAUUAGAAUUCAUAAAGAUGACUAUUAUCAAAAUCAUUUGUCUAACAAUUCACCCUCUCUAGGAAUUGAUCCACCACAUGACGAUGUUGAACAUGGAUACUAUGAUGAGGAUGAUGAUAGUGACUUUUGAUCUUGAUGAUGCAAUGAGACACUUUGGUCUUAUGGCAAAUCUUCAGGGAUACAUGGAAGCAGGAAAGGAAUGGGUCCUUAACAGUGGAUGUACCGAUCACAUGACCGGAGAUAAAGAUAUGUUUGGUGAGCUUGCUGAAAAUGACGGCCCUCGAAAGUAUGUCACUUUUGGUGAUAACUCAAAGGGUAAGGUGGUUGGCCUCGGUAAGGUGGCCAUCUCACAUGAUAGCUCCAUACAAAAUGUCAUGCUCGUUGAAUCUCUUGGUUAUAAUCUGCUUUCUGUUUUUAGACUAGCUGACUUUGGUUUCAAUGUCCAAUUUACCAAAGUAGAUUGCCAAGUUUUUCAUAGAGAUAAUCAUAAAAUGGUAUUUACCGGUAUACACAAAGGUGAUCUAUACAUUGUUGAUUUCACUAAAAAGGCUCAACCUAAAACUUGCUUAAUUGCUAAAUCUUCUAAAGGUUGGUUGUGGCAUAGACGGUUAGGUCAUGUUGGCAUGCGAAACCUUGACAAGCUUAUUAAAGGUAAUCAUAUCCUUGGCGUUAACGAUGUCAUAUUUGAUAAGGAUAGAAUUUACAGCGCUUGUCAAGAAGGUAAACAGGUUGGAGGAAGGCAUCCCGUGAAGAACAUCAUUACCACAAGGAGGCCGCUCGAGCUACAUCACAUGGAUCUUUUCGGUCCCAAUGCUUACAAAAGUCUCAGUGGAAAUUCUUUUGGUCUAGUUAUAGUUGAUGAUUUUUCAAGAUUUACGUGGGUAUUCUUUCUCGAUGAUAAAUCGCAGGUCCAAAAGAUCUUCAAAAACUUCGCUAGGAAGGCCCAAAAUCAAUUUGAAGUGAAAAUCAAGAAGGAUCGCAGCGACAACGGAACGGAGUUCAAGAACGCAAAUGUGGACACCUUUCUUGAUGAAGAAGGGAUUUCACAUGAGUUCUCGGCUACGUACACACCUGAACAAAAUGGAGUUGUUGAGAGGAAGAACCGAACACACAUCAAAAUGGCGAGAACGAUGCUUGAUGAGUACAAGACGCCAAAGCACUUUUGGGCGGAAGCGGUUGAGACAGCUUGUCAUGCAACAAAUCCUUGUAUCUUCACAAGCUACUCGGCAAAACGGCAUACGAGCUCCUCACCGGUAACAAACCCCAAGUUGGAUACUUUCGAGUAUUCGGCUCAAAGUACUACAUUCUUGAUAAGCAUCAUCGUUCUAAAUUUGCUCCUAAAUCUCAUGAAGGUUUCCUACUUGGUUAUGGCUCAAACUCUCACACUUACCGUGUCUACAAUAAUUUCACCCAAAAGGUUGAAGAGACGGUAGAUGUGAAGUUUGAUGAAUCUAACGGCUCGUAAGUAGAGCAAUUGCCAAUUGAUGUAGGAGAUAAAGAUCCUUCGAAAGCAAUCCAAGACUUGUCUAUUGGCAAGGUUCGUCCAACGGAGGUGAAGGAGAGUACCUCGUCCGUCCAAGUGGAAGCUUCUACCUCACGACAAGGUGAACCAAGAGUUGAUAUGGAAGCAUCCACAAGCGGGACACGCCAAGAUGAAGAAAACGAGGAAGUACACCAAGAUGAACAUCAACAACCUCCUUCUCCACCACGACGAGAGAAUGACAACGUCAACAAUGAUGAAGGCCAAUAAGAAGAACAAGAUGAUGAAGAAGAUGUUCCACCCCGAUCAAAGCAAAAGCUCUCAUGAGUUCGAGCAAGAGUUGCUAGAGACCAUCCCAUCGAGCAAAUCUACAAUGAUAUCCAAACCGGGAGAAUCACUCGCUCUAAAUCUCAUUUGGCUAACUUUGGCAUUGAACCUAUGAAGGUUGAAGAAGCAUUGGAAGAUCCGGAUUGGAUAAACGCCAUGCACGAAGAACUACACAACUUUGAGAUAAACCAAGUGUGGACAUUGGUCGAGAAGCCCGACAACAACCACAACAUCAUCGGUACCAAAUGGGUGUUUCGCAACAAGCAAGAUGAAGAUGGACAAGUAGUUCGCAACAAAGCAUUUCUCGUCACCCAAGGCUACACUCAAGUCGAAGGUAUGGACUAUGGUGAGACAUAUGCCCCCGUUGCUAGACUUGAGUCCAUUCGCAUCUUACUUGCCUAUGUUAAUCACCAUGGUAUCACCUUGUACCAAAUGGAUAUUAAAAGUGCUUUUCUAAAUGGUGAAAUUGAGGAGGAAGUUUAUGUUAAACAACCUCCCAGCUUUGUCAAUCCUAAGAAACCUAAUCAUGUUUACAAACUUCACAAAGCUCUUUAUGGUCUUAAACAAGCUCCUAGAGCAUGCUAUAUGACCAAGUUCCUUAUUGAAAACGGCUUUGAGAUUGGAAAAUUGAUUCUACUCUUUUCACUAAAAGGGUUAAUGGAGAAUUAUUUGUAUGCCAAAUUUAUGUCGAUGAUAUUAUAUUUGGAUCAACUAACCCUCAUUUUAGUGAGAAGAUUGGGAAGCUAAUGUUGGAGAAGUUUGAGAUGUCUAUGAUGAGUGAACUCAAGUUAUUUCUUGGUUUGCAAAUCAAGCAAACUAAGGAAGGAACCUUUGUCUCUCAAACGAAGUACACCAAGGACUUAUUCAAGAAGUUCAAUAUGCAAGAAUGCAAAGGUAUGACUACACCCAUGCCUACUAGUGGACAUCUUGAUUUGACCAAAGAUGGUGAACCGGUUGAUCAAAAAGUUUAUCGCUCUAUGAUUGGAUCAUUGUUAUAUCUAUGUGCCUCUCGUCCUGAUAUUGUGCUAAGUGUGUGCAUGUGUGCACGAUUUCAAGCGGCCCCUAAAGAGUGUCAUCUUAAGGCUGUGAAAGGGAUAGUGAGAUACUUAAUUCAUACACCAAACUUUGGCAUUUGGUAUCCAAAGAGGGCCUCUUUUAAUCUUGUUGGCUACUCUGACUCGGACUAUGCCGGAGACAAGGUUGAUAGAAAGUCCACAUUGGGUACUUGUCAAUUUCUUGGUAGAUCUCUUGUCUCUUGGUCCUCCAAGAAACAAAACUCGAUAUACUUAUCCACCGCCGAAGCGGAAUACAUAGCCGCUGGGUCAUGUUGUGCUCAAUUACUUUGGAUGACCCAAACUCUUAAGGAUUAUGGGAUAUAUGUGAAACAUGUUCCUUUGCUUUGUGACAAUGAAAGUGCCAUUAAGAUUGCUCACAAUCCCGUGCAACAUUCUCGAACUAAGCACAUUAAAGUUCGUCAUCAUUUCAUUCAAGAUCAUGUUGCUAAGGGUGACAUUAACCUUAAGCAUGUUUGUACCGAAAAACAAUUAGCCGAUAUUUUCACUAAACCACUUGAUGAGAAAGUGUUUUGCAGGUUAAGAGGUGAAUUGAACAUCAUUGAUGCUUCAAACUUGGAGUAGGAACUCCAUUUGGAUACAUGCAAGACAAGAGCCUAUGACUAUUCCAUGAUAUUUCUCUUAUGAUGAUAAUCAUAUAUCUUGGAUAUAUUUGGACCCUUGCAUGUUGUCUAACCAAUGUAGGUACUUGGAUGGAUUUAACUCUAUGAGAUUGCAACCCACUCACAUCUUGAGUAAUCUCUACAUCACCAAGUCUCUACAUUAUGGUGGUUGAAGACAAUGAAGCACGAAACCCUUCAAACAUAUCCUUUGACAAAUUCUAUAUUGAGUUUAUGAUUGUCAUUUUGGAUGCACAAGUGCUCUUCCUUGCAAGACUAACUCGUGUAGGUAGAUGAACUCAAAUUCCAAGUGGAGCUCCCAACUCUUGAUGAGCUACAUCAACCUUGAGCAACCGACAUAAGUUCAACUACAUGAUCACGAUCAAUUCCACCACCCAAGGUAUGUUAUUCCAUCUUAGAGAAGCUUUACUCCAAGACAUGAGUCAAAUCAACUCAACAAGAUGUGAAUACAUCAAAAUGCUUAAAUGAAAAAUGGUAACCCCAUUUUGAGCUUAAACGAUGAGUAUGACCUAUGAUCAAGUGAUCUCACUUGACUCCUAAGUCAAUAUACUCUAACAUAGGUGACUUUGUCUCCGACUAAUUUUAGAUGAAGUUCUCUAGUGUUCUUUUCUGUGCUCUUGCAUUUGUCUCAUGCAUAUUUGUUUCCCCUUUCAAAAAAAACUUCAUCUAGAUUUCUUUUCUGAUUUCUUUUUGUUCUGCAUUCCUUGCAUCCAAUUCUUUGCAAAUCUUUCAGUUAAUUCCUUGCAAAUCCUUGUGAGAUCUUACUUGUCUAGUGAGCUAAGGUGACAAGUGUUUUCUCUAUGAUGAACUCGAUCACACCGGUCUGUUGUUUUCGGUCCAACCGAAUUCUUUCGAAGCAACCGAAGCACACAACUCGGUGCCACCGAUUUCAUUGCAGGAAAGACAACUUGCCACUUGUUCCUACAUUCUUUUUGAUCCGGCUCCACUCAAUGAUUCUUGUCCUCUACCAGCAUCACAUUCGACUGGCUGCUUUGUUCUAUGACUCAAGGACCAAACCCUUUUGUAACAAAAAUCUAGAAGAACCCUUCUUGGAAAUUGAUGUCAAAGGGGGAGAGAGAGAUCACAUCAAAGCUUAAUCAUUUCUAUAGGGGGAGAAAAUACUCAGGGGGAGAGAGAGUUCUUCUACAAGGAGACAGAAGUAUCACUUCAAAAGACCACAGAUGCUUGGUGCUUAAGAGGAGAGAAGUCACAUGUCUUUAAGACGGGAAAGACAUGUUCAUAUUUGAUUGUUUGCUUUUUAGCUCUCUUUCUUUUCUUUGCUCUGGUUGCUCUGAUUUUCUGUUCCCUAUCUUCUCCCAGUAUCCCAUGCUAGAUUUAGGGGGAGCAAGACAUCUCAGGGAAGGAAGUCCUUGAAUUUUUUGCACAUCUUUACCUUUGGGGACAUGUCUAUAUCCAAUGGGGUACUCGGUACUCACUCUCUACAUGUCAUCCCAGUCUUGGUACUCUUGUGGUUCUUUUGUUUGCUCUGGCUAGUAGGUGUAUCUGUGUUAUCUAACCUUGUUUACGCAGGUUCAUUCCCUCCUAAGCCAACUCAAGACCACAAGGUAAGUAUAUGCAUCACAGUCAUGUGUAUGAGGAUCUCUUGCUGAUGUACAUACUGUUUGCAAGAAGGACUCAUGAGCAUGGAGGUACAUUUCCUAUAUUCACAUCAUUUGCUCUGAUGCAUAUAGCCAAGAUACAUGUAAUACAUUGCUUACUCUGUCAUGCUUAUGCAUUCACAUGCUCCUAUAUUCCACAUUUACAUGAUUGCAUACAUGUAGGGGGGGGCAUAUGCAUGUUACAUGUCUUCCCAAAGCUUUACUUGUCAUUCUCUAUAUCUUUAUCUAAAGCUUUGAUGUAUAUUGUCAUCAAUUACCAAAAGGGGGGAGAUUAAAAACACAAGUGCUCCCUGGGUGGUUUUGGUAAUUAAUGUCAAGAUAUCUCUUGUUGGACUAAUACUUUACCUAGUAUGUUUCAGAUAAGUUCAACAAUGGAGUGGCAUGGACUAGAGGAUGUGGAACCCUUUCAAGAUGCUAAGGGCAAAAGGAUUGGCUCAAGCUCAAAGAACAAGACUCUACAUUUUACUUUAAGUGAUCCAAGAUCACAUUGAGUCCAUAGGAAAGCAAAUACUAUUAAGAGGGGAUGAGGUGUUGCUUAAUGGCUUACUUGCUCAAAGUGCUUAGUGAUAUGCUCCAAAGCCCUCAACUACUUUCUCACAUCCACAUAUGUCCCAAACCAAAAGUCAAAAUCGGCCCCACCGAAUCUUUCUAUCCGGCGCCACCAAGUUCAGUUGACAUAUCCACUUCCAAAAACCCUAGUAUUUUUGGUCUCACCGAUAGGGAUCUCGGUCUCACCGAGAUGGGAUUGUAAUCUCUCUGUUUCCCUUCGUAAAGUUUCAGUCAAACCAAGAUGAGCGAUCGGUCCCACCGAGAUUGCAAUGCAGACUCUUUGUUUCCCUUUUGUAACGUUUCGGUCCAACCGAGAUGAGCGAAACGGUCCCACCGAGUUUGCCUGACCAACUCUCUGGUUAGCUUAUUACCAAAAUCGGUCUCACUGAUUUUGUGUAAUCGGUCUCACCGAGAUUACGUUAUGCCCUAACCCUAAUGAUAUCGGUCCCACCGAGUUGACAUGUUGGUCCCACCGAAAUACCUAACGGUCACAUUAUGAACUAAAUCGGUCUAACUGAGUUUAACGAUUCGGUCCCACCAAGUUUGGUAAGUUGUGUGUAACGGUUAGAUUUUGUGUGGGGGCUAUAUAUACCCCUCCACCCACUCUUCAUUCGUGGAGAGAGCCAUCAGAACAUGCCUACACUUCCAACAUACAUUUUCUGAGAGAGAACCACCUACACUUGUGUUGAGAUCAAGAUAUUCCAUUCCUACCACAUAAAUCUUGAUCUCUAGCCUUCCCCAAGUUGCUUUCCACUCAAGUAUUCUUUCAACCAAAUCCAAAUCAUGUGAGAGAGAGUUGAGUGUUUGGGAGACUAUCAUUUGAAGCACAAGAGCAAGGAGUUAAUCAUCAACACACCAUCUAUUACCUUUUGGAGAGUGGUGUCUCCUAGAUUGGUUAGGCGUCACUUGGGAGCCUCCGUCAAGAUUGUGGAGUUGAACCAAGGAGUUUGUAAGGGCAAGGAGAUCAUCUACUUCGUGAAGAUCUACCCUAGUGAGGCAAGUCCUUCGUGGGCGACGGCCAUGGUGGGAUAGACAAUGUUGCUUCUUCGUGGACCCUUCGUGGGUGGAGCCCUCCGUGGACUCGCGUAGCCGUUACCCUUCGUGGGUUGAAGUCUCCAUCAACGUGGAUGUACGAUAGCACCACCUAUCGGAACCACGACAAAAACAUCCGUGUCUCCAAUUGCGUUUGCACACUCCAAUCCCAUCCCUUUACUUUCUUGCAAGUUGCAUGCUUUACUUUCCGCUGCUCAUAUACUCUUUGCAUGCUUUCUUGAUUUGUAUUGUGAAUGGUUAAACUUGUGCCAAAACUCCACCUUAAUUUAAAGAGAUUAAAAACUGCCAACUUUGUGUGUUGAGUGUCUAAUCACCCACCUCUAUACACCUCUUCUCGAUCCUUUCAAUUGGUAUCAGAGCUUUGAUCUCCAUUGCUUUGGUUUAAUCACCAUUGGAGGAAGAUGGAUGAGUCUACUUUGGGGAGUCUUAGACAUAGAGUGCCUAUACUUGAUGGAGAAUAUUUCAUGAGUGGAAAAAUGGGAUGCUUGUGAUUCUCAAUGAAUAUCAUUUGAACAAGUACAUUACUAGUCCUUGUGCACCUCAUGUUGAUCCUAUGCGUCCUACCCUUGAUGAGUCCAUUGACAUAAUUCGCAAUCUUAGAACUGUUAAUCUUAUCACUAGAGGCUUGCCUAGAAACUUGAUUGGUUGCUUGCCUACUCUUGAAUGUGCCUACACCAUAUGGAAAUUUCUUGAGGAACAAUUCCCAAAUUAUUCCUUGUAAAAUUUAGAUGAAAUUCUUCAUAAGUCUAUUGCCUUGAGUAAGACGAAUUCCAAUGAUCCUAAAUUAUGUGAUUGUCUAUUUGAGCUUACAAAUCUUAUGUGUGCCAAAGGAGAGGUUGGAAUCAUUAGUGAUAUUAUUUUCGAAGCUAUUAGAAUUCAUAAAGAUGACUAUUGUCAAAAUCAUUUGUCUAACGAUUCACCCUCUCUAGGAAUUGAUCCACCACAUGACGAUGUUGAACAUGGAUACUAUGAUGAGGAUGAUGAUAAUGACUUUGAUCUUGAUGAUGCAAUGAGACACUUUGGUCCUAUGGCAAAUCUUCGGGGAUACAUGGCAGGAGGAAAGGAAUGGGUCCUUGACAGUGGAUGUACCGAUCACAUGACCGGAGAUAAAGAUAUGUUUGGUGAGCUUGCUGAAAACGACGGCCCUCGAAAGUAUGUCACUUUUGGUGAUAACUCAAAGGGUAAGGUGGUUGGCCUCGGUAAGGUGGCCAUCUCACAUGAUAGCUCCAUACAAAAUGUCAUGCUCGUUGAAUCUCUUGGCUAUAAUCUGCUUUUUGUUUCUAGACUAGCUGACUUUGGUUUCAAUGUCCUAUUUACCGAAGUAGAUUGCCAAGUGUUUCAUAGAGAUAAUCAUAAAAUGGUCUUUACCGGUAUACGCAAAGGUGAUCUAUACAUUGUUGAUUUCACUAAAAAGGCUCAACCUAAAACUUGCUUAAUUGAUAAAUCUUCUAAAGGUUGGUUGUGGCAUAGACGGUUAGGUCAUGUGGGCGUGCGAAACCUUGACAAGCUUAUUAAAGGUAAUCAUAUCCUUGGCGUUAACGAUGUCAUAUUUGAUAGGAUAGACUUUGUAGUGCUUGUCAAGCAGGUAAACAGGUUGGAGGAAGGCAUCCCGUGAAGAACAUCAUGACCACAAGGAGGCCGCUCUAGCUACAUCACAUGGAUCUUUUCGGUCCCAAUGCUUACAAAAGUCUCGGUGGAAAUUCUUUUGGUCUAGUUAUAGUUGAUGAUUUUUCAAAAUUUACGUGGGUGUUCUUUCUCGAUGAUAAAUCGCAGGUCCAAAAGAUCUUCAAAAUCUUCGCUAGGAAGGCCCAAAAUCAAUUUGAAGUGAAAAUCAAGAAGGAUCGCAGCGACAACGGAAAGGAGUUCAAGAACGCAAAUGUGGACACCUUUCUUGAUGAAGAAGGGAUUUCACAUGAGUUCUCGGCUACGUACACACCUGAACAAAAUGGAGUUGUUGAAAGGAAGAACCGAACACACAUCAAAAUGGCGAAAACGAUGCUUGAUGAGUACAAGACGCCAAAGCACUUUUGGGCGGAAGCGGUUGAGACAGCUUGUCAUGCAACAAAUCCUUGUAUCUUCACAAGCUACUCGGCAAAACGGCAUACGAGCUCCUCACCGGUAACAAACCACAAGUUGGAUAUUUUCGAGUAUUCAGCUCAAAGUGCUACAUUCUUGAUAAGCAUCGUCGUUCUAAAUUUGCUCCUAAAUCUCAUGAAGGUUUCCUACUUGAUUAUGGCUCAAACUCUCACACUUAUCGUGUCUACAAUAAUUUCACCCGAAAGGUUGAAGAGACGGUAGAUGUGAAGUUUGAUGAAUCUAAUAGCUCGCAAGUAGAGCAAUUGCCAAUUGAUGUAGGAGACAAAGAUCCUUCGAAAGCAAUCCAAGACUUGUCUAUUGGCAAGGUUCGUCCAACGGAGGUGAAGGAGAGUACUACGAUUUGAUAGAAAUUCUACUUACUUUGUUAUCCUAUCAAUAUAAAAUUAUGUAACUGUAAAUAUUAAUCAGUGAGACAUGAAGAUGUCAUGGGACAUUUAAGCAGUACUCUAUCACCAUCAUGUCGUCAUCAUGUCGUCAUCAUGUUUUUAAGUUCAAUACUCCAAGGGAGAUAAAUCUUGAAGCCAUAAUGUCAUCCUGAAAAAUAAAAUGGAAACGUGGUUGAUAUUUGUACAGAAUGUAGUCUACUCUGUACCUUGAUGCUUUGUGCAACGAUUUGUCUGACACGCACCCUCAAUAGAAGCUAUACAGAUCUUCCACUUAAAAGAAGUUGGCACAAUCUCGGUUGGUUACUUCUAUAUAUUUCAGGUUUGAAUAAGCACUUUCUUGAAGUCAGAUGGAGAUGCUAAAGAAAUUUGUCAUCCAAUAUGUUAUUCUGCAAAAAAAUGUAAAGAAUUAGAAAGUACAAGAAUAAUGAGGCAGAGCAUCGAACUGAGCAUAAAAAUUUCCAUAAAUGGUAUAUGCAGUUUAGUCAAACAACUCUUAAUUCGUUAAAUCGGCACAGCAAGGGAGUCUUUUCUUGGAGCGGUGCAAUGUAUGAUGUAGAAAUCAUUCUGUACAAGUUUGUAAAACCACAAAAGACAUAUAAUGUACUGGCCAUAGUAAUAAGAAAUGUAUGAAGGUGCUCAUCCUAGAAUUCUUUCUUGUUCUGAAACAAUCAUUACCAUUGGUGCAACCUAUAAUUAAACAGCAAUAGCAGCACUUUGCCUUGACCACCCUGUGCAAAAUAAGCUGGCUACCCAUUUUGGCAUACAGAACCUAAAAUUAAAGGAAGAAAACAGGUCAAUUUGGUAGUGCUGUAAUUAGACAUGAGAAGUCAGUCAGUUUGUUGGAGCAGUAAUUAUGAAAUGCACAUGUAAUUGUCACUGUCAGAAACACCGGAAAUACUGUCAGCUACAUCUCCACGGAAACAUUACUAAACUGACCUCUCUGUUCUCCUGCUCGUCCCCCACCCCAUCUCCAUUUCGUACUCUUCUCUCGGGCCUCUCGUACGCGGCAAGAAGGCCACACAUCAGUGUACUGUGUACAACAAGGCACCAUAAUUCAUUACGAUCUGCAUCUGCAAUAGAACAAAAGGGGCAACAUGAUAACUGAAGGACCAAGAAGUCCAUCAACACUCUAGCCACAAAUUGACAUUUCCUUUUUACCCAUGUGUUUUCUCCUUUCAUGCACAUCUUUCUGCCUUUCCAUGCGACAAAAGAACAAUGGGAAUCAGUGCCAUUGCAUAAACUGGUUAUUUGAGUAGUUUUGCGUUAGUUUCAUGUCAGUUGGAACUUGGAAAUUACGGGUUUUUUUCCUUCAUGUGAGCUCUUAAACAAUACAGUACUACAAAUUAGCUUGCAGUGCCAUACUAUAUACUUACGGGCGACUUGAGGAUUGGAGGGAAUCCAACAUCUGCCGGUCGCUGCAGCUGCAGUACGUACCCUGGAAACGCGGCAAAUUCGCCGAUUCUAGUAGUGUGUUGCCGCUGGUGCCUUCUUGCAGCCUUGGAUUAUAUUCUUGCCCGUUGCCUCCCUGGUCGAUGCCCAUAUCAUCAAGAUAGGAGAAGGGCAUGAGGGUGGGACGUUGUGGAGGCAGUGGCGCAAGGGCGCGGCGGCCAUAUGGCUUAUUAGUGUUUGGUUAGGUUAAGAGAGGAACGGGGGCGGCGUACGGUAGGGAAGGAGAAGAUUUGAUCUGUGUUAGGUCAAAAGAAGAUUAGGUGGUUGUUAUUUAUCGUUUAAUUGAGGGAUCCACCAAAUCAAUAGCCAGAUGUUUCUGCCUUUUGUAGGAUUUUCUGCCCUAUGGCUAUUUUUUGUGGUACAAAUAAAUGGUUUUUCUAGGAAUUUUUAGUCUGUCUCCUUUUUUUCCUGGAGAGCCCGACAAGUAUAUACGUACAGAUAUAUAAUGCAGCUUUGGGUCCUUCGUUUGCUGAAGAAAAACAGGGUAAUCAACCAAUCAUAUUCAUAUCCAAGCACACCUAUUUUUUGGCCACGCGCUCCAAUACUGCUUGGCUCUACCAGCCAGUUAGAGCAAAAAAUGCUCGAGGAACAUUAUCAUAGCUUCUCACGGUAACUAGAUCAACUUUGCUUCCGCGCACAACACAAUAUGGAUUCAUCUGCGACACUUUUCAUAAAAUACGACUUGACUUCAAAUAUAUAUGUAAGAGCAUAGGCGAAAGCAUCAUCAUACAGACAGCGGUGAUCUUUCAUGAACCAAAAGGGACCAUCUACAAACGGCGAGGCCAAAAACGGAUUGUUUUACAGUAGGACGCACAUAUUCCACUACACACGUAGACAGACAGAUAAAACUAGCAGCAGCAGCGCAGACACUUUCAGAGAGUCGAGACAACCAUCGCACCCUUCAGCGGCGCCUUGCAGCGUUAACUCAAAAUUCCACACUUGCGUGAUUCAGACAGACUUCAGGAGGAGGAGAGGCCAGGACGGACAGGCGCCUGUUUGUUCUGGCCGGUCGUCGGUUCCAGCUAUCUUGGGG